CCUACGGGAGGCAGCAGUGAGGAAUAUUGGUCAAUGGUCGGGAGACUGAACCAGCCAAGCCGCGUGAGGGAUGAAGGUACAGAGUAUCGUAAACCUCUUUUGUCAGGGAACAAAGGCGGGGACGUGUCCCCGGAUGAGUGUACCUGAAGAAAAAGCAUCGGCUAACUCGGUGCAAGCAGCCGCGGUAAGACGGAGGAUGCGAGCGUUAUCGGGAUUUAUGGGGGUAAAAGGGUGCGCAGGCGGACGGUUAAGUCAGCGGUCAAAGCCCGGGGCUCAACCCCGGCCCGCCGUUGAAACUGGCAGUCUCGAGUUGGAGAGAGGUAUGCGGAAUGCGGGGUGUAGCGGUGAAAUGCAUAGAUAUCGCGCAGAACUCCGAUUGCGAAGGCAGCAUGCCGGCUCCACACUGACGCUGAGGCACGAAAGCGUGGGUAUCGAACAGGAUUAGAUACCCCGGUAGUC
Molecule: ribosomal RNA, 459 nt
Filed under: uncultured bacterium
Lineage: Bacteria
Description: partial 16S ribosomal RNA
Rfam family: Bacterial small subunit ribosomal RNA
Source: RNAcentral